Molecule: non-coding RNA, 112 nt
Organism: Caerostris darwini
Lineage: Eukaryota; Metazoa; Arthropoda; Arachnida; Araneae; Araneidae
Source: the annotation of a GenBank genome assembly
AACGGCCGUACCAUGCUGAAUAUACCGGUUCUCGUUAGAUCACCGAAGUCAAGCAUCAUUGGGCGCGGUCAGUACUUGGGUGGGUGACCACCUGGGAACACCGCGUGCCGUG